This 194-nucleotide ribosomal RNA is filed under the name uncultured bacterium. Its description in RNAcentral is "partial 16S ribosomal RNA". It matches the Rfam family "Bacterial small subunit ribosomal RNA", at positions 338 to 524 of the family's 1533-position model. The record is from RNAcentral.
CCUACGGGAGGCAGCAGUGGGGAAUUUUGCGCAAUGGGCGAAAGCCUGACGCAGCAACGCCGCGUGGGUGAUGAAGGUCUUCGGAUCGUAAAACCCUGUCGUCAGGGACGAAGGUUAGUCGUUGAAUAGGCGAUUGACUUGACGGUACCUGGAGAGGAAGCCCCGGCUAACUCUGUGCCAGCAGCCGCGGUAAU